Molecule: long non-coding RNA, 940 nt
Filed under: Homo sapiens (human)
Lineage: Eukaryota; Metazoa; Chordata; Mammalia; Primates; Hominidae
Description: HSALNT0246452
Source: RNAcentral
GGGACUACAGGUGCCCGCUGCCACGCCCGGCUAAUUUCUUUUUGUAUUUUUAGUAGAGACGGGGUUUCACCGUGUUAACCAGGAUGGUCUCGAUCUCCUGACCUUGUGAUCCGCCCUCCUCGGCCUCCCAAAGUGCUGCAAUGACAGGCGUGAGCUACCACACCCGGCCUCAUUCUUUUUUAUGACUGAAUAAUAUUUAAUUAUAUGGAUAUAGCACAAUUUGUUCACCUGUUCAUCAAUUAUAGGCAUUCUGAUGAUGAUAAAUAGUGCAACUGUGAACAUUUGUGUACAAGUUUCCGUGUGGAUAGAUGUUUUCAAUUCUCCUGGGGCAGAGCCUGGGCGUGGAAUUGCUGGGUAUGUGGUAAGUCUAUGUUUAAGCUUUUGAGGAACUGUCAGACUGUUUCAAAAGUGACUGCGCCAUUUUACAGUCCCAUCAGCAAAGCACACAGAUUCCGGCUCAGGGCUGCCUUUAGACAAGAUGGUGCCUGGGCAGGAUUUGAACUAUAAAACACCUCUCUGGCUGCGGUGGGGACAGUGGCCUUGAAGGGAGCGAGAGUAGUCUUCACGUUGCGGGAGGUCAGCCGGGAAGUACAUGGCUCAGAUACCAAGUGAGGGCCGGGAAGCACGUGGCUCAGAUACCAAGUGGGGGCCAGGUGCGAGUCCCAGGAGGUCAGCCGGAGAGCACGUGGGUCAGACAUGAAGUGGGGGGCUGGGCACACCAGGGCCCCAUGGGAAAGGCAGGUGUUCCUGCUCCCCCAGUGUCCUCCUGGCUCCCUGGGAAGUCCCUGUGUGUUUUCCUUCCUUAACUGUGCUUAUCAGGUGGUCUUUGUUCCAAAGUCAUUCGCAAACAAGACACCAACAGUUUCCCACCACGUGGCUCUACUCCUCACACCCUCCACCCGAUAAGAUGAAAUCUGUAGAAGACAUUGAUCUCCCUUUC